This 1019-nucleotide ribosomal RNA is filed under the name uncultured bacterium. RNAcentral's name for it is "bacterial SSU rRNA". It matches the Rfam family "Bacterial small subunit ribosomal RNA", at positions 28 to 1043 of the family's 1533-position model. The record is from RNAcentral.
AUUGAACGCUGGCGGUAGGCUUAACACAUGCAAGUCGUGCGAGAAAGUAUCUUCGGAUAUGAGUAGAGCGGCGGACGGGUGAGUAACGCGUAGGAAUCUACCUAGUAGAAGGGGAUAGCCCGGGGAAACCCGGAUUAAUACCGUAUACCUCCUUCGGGAGAAAGAAGGCCUCUCUUUGAAGCUUUCGCUACUAGAUGAGCCUGCGUAAGAUUAGCUUGUUGGUGAGGUAAAGGCUCACCAAGGCUACGAUCUUUAGCUGGUCUGAGAGGACGAUCAGCCACAUUGGGACUGAGACACGGCCCAGACUCCUACGGGAGGCAGCAGUGGGGAAUAUUGGACAAUGGGCGCAAGCCUGAUCCAGCCAUACCGCGUGUGUGAAGAAGGCCUUCGGGUUGUAAAGCACUUUAAGCAGGGAGAAAAAGUUAUAAGUUAAUACCUUAUAACCCUGAUGUUACCUGCAGAAUAAGCACCGGCUAAUUCCGUGCCAGCAGCCGCGGUAAUACGGAAGGUGCAAGCGUUAAUCGGAAUUACUGGGCGUAAAGCGCGCGUAGGUGGUUUGUUAAGUUGGAUGUGAAAGCCCUGGGCUCAACCUAGGAACUGCAUCCAAAACUAACUCACUAGAGUACGAUAGAGGGAGGUAGAAUUCAUAGUGUAGCGGUGGAAUGCGUAGAUAUUAUGAAGAAUACCAGUGGCGAAGGCGGCCUCCUGGAUCUGUACUGACACUGAGGUGCGAAAGCGUGGGUAGCGAACAGGAUUAGAUACCCUGGUAGUCCACGCCGUAAACGAUGACAACUAGCUGUUGGGAGACUAUGUCUUUCAGUGGCGCAGCUAACGCUUUAAGUUGUCCGCCUGGGGAGUACGGCCGCAAGGCUAAAACUCAAAUGAAUUGACGGGGACCCGCACAAGCGGUGGAGCAUGUGGUUUAAUUCGAUGCAACGCGAAAAACCUUACCUACUCUUGACAUACUUGGGAGCUCUUGUAAUGAGAGUGUGCCUUAUGGAACCAAGAUACAGGUGCUG